Molecule: ribosomal RNA, 637 nt
Filed under: uncultured Leptodontidium
Lineage: Eukaryota; Fungi; Ascomycota
Description: eukaryotic LSU rRNA
Rfam family: 5.8S ribosomal RNA (bases 265-418)
Source: RNAcentral
UCCGUAGGUGAACCUGCGGAAGGAUCAUUACUAGAGCAAAGGAUAGACAGCGCCCGCGGAGCUCGCUCCCGGGGCUACCCUACUCCCGUAGGGUUUAGAGCCGUCGGGCCUCUCGGAGAAGCUCGGUCCUGAACUCCACCCUUGAAUAAACUACCUUUGUUGCUUUGGCGGGCCGCCUCGUGCCAGCGGCUUCGGCUGUUGAGUGCCCGCCAGAGGACCCCAACUCUUGUUUUUAGUGAUGUCUGAGUACUAUAUAAUAGUUAAAACUUUCAACAACGGAUCUCUUGGUUCUGGCAUCGAUGAAGAACGCAGCGAAAUGCGAUAAGUAAUGUGAAUUGCAGAAUUCAGUGAAUCAUCGAAUCUUUGAACGCACAUUGCGCCCUCUGGUAUUCCGGGGGGCAUGCCUGUUCGAGCGUCAUUAUAACCACUCAAGCUCUCGCUUGGUAUUGGGGUUCGCGGUUUCGCGGCCCCUAAAAUCAGUGGCGGUGCCUGUUGGCUCUACGCGUAGUAAUACUCCUCGCGAUUGAGUCCGGUAGGUCUACUUGCCAGCAACCCCUAAUUUUUUUUAAGGUUGACCUCGGAUCAGGUAGGGAUACCCGCUGAACUUAAGCAUAUCAAUAAGCGGAGGAAAAGAAAC